ACACGUGGGCAACCUGCCUAUAAGACUGGGAUAACUUCGGGAAACCGGAGCUAAUACCGGAUACGUUCUUUUCUCGCAUGAGAGAAGAUGGAAAGACGGUUUACGCUGUCACUUAUAGAUGGGCCCGCGGCGCAUUAGCUAGUUGGUGAGGUAAUGGCUCACCAAGGCGACGAUGCGUAGCCGACCUGAGAGGGUGAUCGGCCACACUGGGACUGAGACACGGCCCAGACUCCUACGGGAGGCAGCAGUAGGGAAUCUUCCGCAAUGGACGAAAGUCUGACGGAGCAACGCCGCGUGAACGAAGAAGGCCUUCGGGUCGUAAAGUUCUGUUGUUAGGGAAGAACAAGUACCAGAGUAACUGCUGGUACCUUGACGGUACCUAACCAGAAAGCCACGGCUAACUACGUGCCAGCAGCCGCGGUAAUACGUAGGUGGCAAGCGUUGUCCGGAAUUAUUGGGCGUAAAGCGCGCGCAGGUGGUUCCUUAAGUCUGAUGUGAAAGCCCACGGCUCAACCGUGGAGGGUCAUUGGAAACUGGGGAA
RNAcentral lists this ribosomal RNA (541 nucleotides) under Bacillus sp. (in: firmicutes). Its description in RNAcentral is "bacterial SSU rRNA". It matches the Rfam family "Bacterial small subunit ribosomal RNA", at positions 113 to 640 of the family's 1533-position model. The record is from RNAcentral. Lineage: Bacteria; Bacillati; Bacillota; Bacilli; Caryophanales; Bacillaceae.